This 85-nucleotide transfer RNA is filed under the name Desulfitobacterium sp. RNAcentral describes it as "tRNA-Leu". It matches the Rfam family "tRNA". Rfam says of the family: Transfer RNA (tRNA) molecules are approximately 80 nucleotides in length. Their secondary structure includes four short double-helical elements and three loops (D, anti-codon, and T loops). Further hydrogen bonds mediate the characteristic L-shaped molecular structure. tRNAs have two regions of fundamental functional importance: the anti-codon, which is responsible for specific mRNA codon recognition, and the 3' end, to which the tRNAs corresponding amino acid is attached (by aminoacyl-tRNA synthetases). tRNAs cope with the degeneracy of the genetic code in two manners: having more than one tRNA (with a specific anti-codon) for a particular amino acid; and 'wobble' base-pairing, i.e. permitting non-standard base-pairing at the 3rd anti-codon position. RNAcentral also lists the same sequence under 2 other names. The record is from RNAcentral. Lineage: Bacteria; Bacillati; Bacillota; Clostridia; Eubacteriales; Desulfitobacteriaceae.
GCGGGAGUGGCGGAACUGGCAGACGCGCACGUUUGAGGGGCGUGUGGGUAACUCCAUACGGGUUCAAGUCCCGUCUUCCGCACCA